GACUCCUUGAGAGUCCUGAAGGAACGUUGAAGACGACGACGUUGAUAGGCCGGGUGUGUAAGCGCAGCGAUGCGUUGAGCUAACCGGUACUAAUGAACCGUGAGGCUUAACCUUACAACGCCGAAGCUGUU
RNAcentral lists this ribosomal RNA (131 nucleotides) under Escherichia coli. RNAcentral describes it as "partial 23S ribosomal RNA". The stretch from base 1 to 114 matches the Rfam family "Bacterial large subunit ribosomal RNA", at positions 2809 to 2925 of the family's 2925-position model. Lineage: Bacteria; Pseudomonadati; Pseudomonadota; Gammaproteobacteria; Enterobacterales; Enterobacteriaceae. The record is from RNAcentral.